UUUGUACUCCCUCCGUCCCAAAAUUCUUGUCUUAAAUUUGUCUAAAUAUGGAUGUAUCUAGUUACAUUUUAGUGUUAGAUACAUCCGUAUCUAAACAAAUGUAAGACAAGAAUUUUGGGACGGAGGGAAUACUAC
Triticum aestivum (bread wheat) is the source of this 135-nucleotide non-coding RNA. Lineage: Eukaryota; Viridiplantae; Streptophyta; Magnoliopsida; Poales; Poaceae. The record is from Rfam.